GCCUGUGGGAGAGGCCAGUGUUGCAGGACCCCCGGGGAGGGCUUCCGGCCGCGUGCUGUGUGACCUUAGGCUCCUCCCCAGCCAGCUCUGGGGCUCUGGGCACACAGCUCCCCGGAACCUAGCCUGAGUCAAGCUGGGGGACCCACGUGCCCCAUGCAGGAAGGCACCAGCACCCCAUUUUAAGAGGGAGGCCCCAUUUUAGAGGCCCGGAUGGGUGCUGACUGCAGUUCAGUGUCUUCCAGAACCUCUGCCCGCUGGGAACUUCAUGGAGAAGCCAUCCAGGAAGAAGCAGGAAGGACCUCCAGGGAGCCAGAAGAGAAGUCACAAACCCACACGAGAGCCCCCCGGCUGUCCCGCGGUCACUUCCGCCUGCCUGGAUGGCGCUUAGGGAGCCUGGGUAUUUUGUCUGUGCUGGGGACGGCCACACACAGUAGCCUGUCUUCCGUGCUCUGGGAGCCCUGGAACCUGGCUGGGCCGGACUCUAGGGGCCCUGGCGCCUCCCGCCCCCGGGCCCCUGGUCCCCUGCUCAGCUCCAGUGACGGCUGGGUAUUGCACACGUUUGAUAAACUGCAGAUGAGCGAGA
This is a long non-coding RNA of Leopardus geoffroyi (Geoffroy's cat), 583 nucleotides long. RefSeq lists it as uncharacterized. The transcript has 2 exons. The record is from RefSeq and is a predicted model, not a curated record. NCBI's taxonomy places the organism in Eukaryota, Metazoa, Chordata, Mammalia, Carnivora, Felidae.